AUGUUUUGGAACCUAGUUGUCUUGGAUUUAUCAGACAACCUUUUCAUGGGUGGACUUCCUCGAUGUUCUCAAAAGCUUAACCUGGUUUUCCUGAUUUUAAAUCACAAUAAGUUUUCUGGCAAGUUCCCAUCAUCACUGAAGAACUACUCGAGUUUGGCAUUCAUGGAUCUUUCAGUGAAUAGUUUCUAUGGAACAUUACCAUCAUGGAUUGGAGAUUUAGUAUAUUUGCGCUUUCUGCAGCUAAGUCACAACUUCUUGUGUGGAGAUAUUCCAGUGACUAUCACAAAUCUUAAACGUCUUCGUCAACUGAGUUUAGCAGGAAACAGUAUAUCUGGUGUUAUUCCUUUUUCUUUGUCAAAUUUAACAGCAAUGACCCAGAAACAUCCAAAGAAACCCGGGGUCGACAUGUUUGUAUGGUACACCAACCGUGUGGGUAAAUUUAGAGAAGUUUGGUCUAUAGUGAUGAAGCGUCAGGAACUUAAGUAUGGUGCUAGAAUUUUUGAUGUGGUCAGUAUGGACCUGUCACUCAACAAUCUAACUGGUGAAAUUCCAUAUGGGAUAACCUCUCUCAAUGGACUAUUGAAUCUAAACUUCUCAUGGAACCAAUUGAGUGGAAAAAUUCCAGAUAGGAUUGGAGCUAUGGAAUCACUUGAAUCGCUCGACCUCUCAAGGAACAACCUUUCUGGUGAAAUCCCAACAAGCUUGACAGAUUUGACUUAUUUAAGCUCCUUGGACCUGUCAUAUAACAAUCUCACAGGAAGAAUUCCACCGGGACGCCAACUUGACACCCUCUACUUGGAGAACCAGUCCAUAUACACGGGCAAUAUUGGUCUGUGUGGUCCUCCUCUUGAAAGGAAUUGCUCACGAAACAAUGCACCAGAGCAUGACAAUCAACAGAAAAUCGAGAAGAUUUCUGAGCCUGUGUUGUUCUUCUACUUUGGACUCGGGUCUGGGUUUGUGGCUGGCCUCUGGGUCGUGUUUUGUACCCUACUGUUCAAAAAAGCGUGGAGACUUGCCUAUUUCCGCCUCUUCGACAAGUUGUAUGACAAGGCAUAUGUGUUUCUGGUUGUUACCUGGGUGAGGAUAAACCACAAAGAGACAACAACUUGA
RNAcentral lists this ribosomal RNA (1110 nucleotides) under Triticum aestivum (bread wheat). RNAcentral describes it as "partial small subunit ribosomal RNA". The record is from RNAcentral. Lineage: Eukaryota; Viridiplantae; Streptophyta; Magnoliopsida; Poales; Poaceae.